This is a long non-coding RNA of Uranotaenia lowii, 3149 nucleotides long. RefSeq lists it as uncharacterized. The record is from RefSeq and is a predicted model, not a curated record. The transcript is spliced from 3 exons. Lineage: Eukaryota; Metazoa; Arthropoda; Insecta; Diptera; Culicidae.
UCAACAAAGUCGUCAUCGAUAUCAAAACACGCCAACCGUUAUCACAACGAGCAUCUGCCAAGCUUAACGACUCUCCACAAAGUUAAAGCCGGAGUAAACCGUUGACAAAAGCAGCAUACAUCCCGAUCCAGACACUUGACUCUGCUUCACAGAAGUUACAGAAACAAUCAGGACAACACACAGCGUAGCUGGAACGAGGUUGCGAGAUUCACUCUGACCUUCUCCAUGUCGGGAGAAAUCAAUCUUGACCAAGCUUCCCAAAAAAGAGAGCCUAAUAGUGGCAUCUACAACAAACCCUAAGGAGACCGCAGGAGCGAAACGUCACCUGCGACGCAAUUAUUCAGAACCUGUAAGACAACACGUAUUACACACAUGACACGCGAUAACCGAUCUCGACAACUACCCGAUCUCGAGAACUACCCGAUCUUGACGAUUAUCCCGAUUUUGUCAAGGUUACUUAUCUGAACCACUCCUCGACCAGGGCGCAGAGGCAAAACGUCACCUAAGACGCAGCUGUUCAGUAAGCACGCCAAGCAUGCGAACCGUAACACCAAAGGCCAACUGCAAAAUACCCAAUCACCUUUGGCUAUGCACACAGGCAAGGCCUGGCAACGAAGCGCAACGUCGCGCGAAACACCGUAAGCCGAUUGAAAAAUCGCGUAUCUGGAAAACGUAAUGAGCAAAAACUCUUCAUCUACCUCCUCGCAAGUACAGCUUGAUGUACAGCUAAGUCCGCUAUCCAACGUAGCCAACAAGAUCAUCUUCGAUGUCAAAAACACGCUAAGCGGUAAUUCUACCACCUCUGCCAACUACGACAUUUUUUCACCAACCAUGACAACAAAUGUUAAAGCUUAGAGAUCAACCUCUACCAAACCACAUAAUACGCUAAGCACGCUAAGAAAUACGCUAUGGUGCUAAGCACCAUACCAUCACAACAGAUGAUGACGAUGCAAUUGUACAUCAAGAAUUGACGCACUAACCACAAAAAAUAAUAUGCCACGGAUCAAGCACAGUAGCAAAGGGGGUCACCAAGAAAAAGAUCUAAAGGAACGCGAUCUGAGGGCGCGGUUUAACCCUCAUUCUGGGCUCUUGGUGAUUUAGAAGACUAAAUCCUUCUUCGCCCUGAACUUCUGUUGCUAUUUCGAAACCAAACCAGCACAAAAACCUAGUAUUAAUGUUGUAUUAGUUCUACUUUGUAAGAUCUUUCUCAUUAGUUUAUAACAUGAUAUUUGAUCUUGAUAUUUGUGAGCUGCUUCAGUAGAACCGUCUAGAAAAUUCAGGCUUCGAAGGAGUAUUUUGCCAGACGAGCUGGCGUAGAUCGACACCAUCUGCCAAAACUCGUUGGCUUAGAGUUUGUUAUUAGUUUUGCCUAAUACUAUUGGCGUUAUGUUCUUCAGUUUUUCUGCCAUGAAUCGAUGGCGUUGAGAUUAUGAUUAUUAUGGUUAAGAUGAGAUUAUGAUUAGCUUUGCAUAUAUUCAGUUAUGUAGUUUAUCACCAGUGCACGGUGAAUUGUGAUCGAGCUUCGCUCGAUAGUUAGUCGAUCAACACUCCUUAUUCGAAUGCCUAGUGGCGUGAUUAAGAAUUUUUCAUGAAUCGCUGUCACGAUUCAUGAAAAAUUCUACCAAAGUAGCAAUGUUAUGUUACAUAUGAAUAUUCUAUGUUUAUUUGAUACGAUACGAGCGCAUUCGCAAACAUUAUUUUCAUUAACCCAUUCCCUCAUGAAAGAUUACUGAGCGUGCAUACACGAAAUAAGUACAAAAAUAAAAGUUGCCAUCAACAAACCGAAAAACACGGAAACAAAACACGGUGCAAAAAUUCGCACCGCAGGAAGAAUGUUUAGCCAGAAAUCUGGCAGGCAUAGAACAGACUCGGAUUUGACAGGCGUCAAACCUAAACCUCAAAGGUUGGCAGCAUUGAACUGUCAUUGCGCUUCCGGAAAACUGCACAGAAAGUGCAAGGAAAAAAAGAAAAAGUGCGCCAUUGGUGUGACGAACGCCGCUCCCCGGAGAAGCAACGAUUUGCGGACAAAUUUGAAGCUACGCUCCGCGGAAAGAGCCAGGAACACCGCUCGAUCCCAGAAUCGGGAGGAGACGAGAACGGCACGCUAAACGAGGAGUCGUCGUGAAUCCACCAAUUGGUCGCCACAAAAUCCGCCAAUCGAUUCCGUGCACGUCGGGCGAAGAGUGGCUAGUUCCGAGCCACAGCAAAGACAGACAGGAAGAGAGCAAGAUAAAAAAAGGGGUCAGACAUGUGCUGUAAGUACCCAACAAUACAGAAAAAGAGUUCAUGCCUGACCAAGAUAUUUUUGUUCCGACAGGACCCCUUUUGGCUAUUUCCUUUUGGCUUUUGGCCCAUUUAUCCGUUUGGCAUUCUGGCCUUUUUGCUUUUGGCGUUUGCCUUGCUUAGCACCGCAUCAAGGCGCAGCAGCUGGCAGGUGAUCCAAAAACGGUUCUCCGGAAUCACUGCCGAUUCGGAAAAAAAACCCGAGGUGCAAGGUUGGCCUUGGCAGAAGGCACCGAUCGUCCGUUCAUCACCACAUCAGUUGCGGCAACCCUUGGCAUCGCGCUUUUCAUCGCCUGUGGAGUGUUUGUUUUGGCGAGCUUCGGAUCGUUCCCUAUUUUUUCUGCGGAAUUCGCAGUUUUUUUUUCCGGUUUCCCUGGUGCGAAAGUCGGUCAGUGGUCUUGUAAAAGUCCCACGAAAACCACUUCGACCUUGUGAACCAGUGCGUAACUCACUAUUGUGGGCAUAAUUCGCACCAAAAUUUGGCACGAGCCACGAGGAAAGGGAAAAAUAGAUCCGGUAGCCACAUAGAAUUCCCACCGCGCAGCAGUAUUUCAGCGGAUCCAUCGUUACAGCAGUGUGCCCCAUCACAUCUACCACAAGCAGGAGGAAAGUUCGAGUCCACACGCCCACCGGAAUUUGGUCAGCGGAUGACAGGGCAAGGAAGCAAGACGGGACGAACAUGUGCCAUAGUGGAAAUCUUCGCAGCUCAAGGAAACCCAACCCCGGGCCCAAUAAAAAGGAGCAACAAACCAGAACUAGCAACGUAAGUCGCCUUUAAGUUCUUUCUUUCCAUGGGGAGGCAAACAUAAAUGGGUAACUACUAGGAAAUUUCGCAAUCAUCAAAUUAAGAUUGCACUGAAAUUGUU